Lolium rigidum is the source of this 2604-nucleotide long non-coding RNA. RefSeq lists it as uncharacterized. Lineage: Eukaryota; Viridiplantae; Streptophyta; Magnoliopsida; Poales; Poaceae. The transcript is spliced from 5 exons. The record is from RefSeq and is a predicted model, not a curated record.
CUCCCCUCCCAUCUCGAGCGCGUCCUUCCCCUCGCCGCCGCCUCUCUUCCACCCUCGUCUGCAGCAGGCAUGGGCCUAUCCCUCCUCUAUCGCCCUUCCAUCCACCAGCCUCGGCGUCAACCGCUCCUUCAUCUUCUGCUUCGCCUAGAUUGGCCGCCACCCAAGAGACAAGCGGUGUUGAUUUGGGCACCAGGUCCAGCUUUCAUCGAGAUGAUGGCAAAGGUCAAUGCCGCCACUGUUGUUUGUUUCUUCCCCGUCUCCGGCGGCUACCUUGGCACCGGCUGGUCCACAUCGACUUGGGCGAGACCUACAGACCGGUGGGGACGAGUCGAUGUAGGCGACUUCUGGGCCGACGGGCUGGCCAGCCGCAGCGCGUCGAUCUAGCCGACCUCCGAGGAGAGCGGGGCAAAGUGGGCAAGAUGUGGAGCUCCGAGAUGGACGCACAACAACAGAGUGACACUGUCAGGUAGCUAUCAGCAUACAUCCAACGUUGAGGCUCCUCCUUAGCUCCAGCCAAAGAGAUACAAUGAUAUCUGGUACCUGACUGUCAAGUGUAGAUUGAUUGCAAUAAUGUUUCAGUUCUUAUGUUUGUUGUGUGAUCUCCAUCUCUCCAGCUAUGGAGCUAAUUGAAUAAUGGGGAAAGGUGAUUUCAAACAGCACCCAGUGUGAGAGUUCCAUUGGGUCAGAGUGUAUUUCACUAUAACCUUGGAUAUGAGCUUAUUUUCUGAAUUUGUUCUUUGCAGUGACUUUACCUAUGAUUUCCUUGAAUGUGUUUUAGAAAGGAGCAGAGGCACAUGUCACUGGCGAUAUAACUGUUUCAUCAUCAGAAUUGGGGUGGAUCUACACAAAUCUGAGUAUCUGGUAAAAACACUAGAAUUGAGUUGAUGGCAAUGUUGGGAGUAUUUUGAGCAGUUAUAAAGUCAGUCAGUCCCAGUGUUGGCCAAAGCCCAUUGUUAAAAGAUUGUUUUGCUAGGAUGCUUGUAUGGUUUGAGUUUAUUUGUAAAUACAGGGAUGUGUUUCUUCAAAUUAAUUUUGUAUGGUGCUUUCAUAAUAUAAAUAUCACCAAUAUUUUUCUAUUGGACUUAAAAUUUACAACUAUAAGUUCUUAUUCUGGAAUAUUUGUUCUUUCUUCUGCAGUUAUUCACUGACAAUGAUUACCACUUCUCUGAGAAUGAUCUGGUUAUGGGCAACAACGUCAAGCCCAUCGGAAUACAAACGUCUAUUCUUUACAAAAGUGGUCAAGCAGAUAUUCUUAUGCUCGACUGUACUGGACAUCUGCUGCUGAAUAUCCGAACUUAGUUGAGGCGUGUGGCAGACAGUUGGCUUCAGGUUUGCAAAAAUGUUGAAAUGUGAAUAGGUGAUAAGACUUAUAUUGUGGUCAAUAUGGUUGCUGAAAUUGGAUUGCACAGGCAAACUCAAAUUUUGUUUAGUAGUUUUGUUUCCCGUCAGAUUCAUUGUAGAGACAGAUUGUUUGCAAUUGUUGAUUGAGCUGGUGGUAAUGGUUCAUGAUCUGAUUCUUCUCGUGCUUUUAGGAAUAGCUAAUUUAUACCAAAACUUCCAAUCUUCAAGUAAGCCAAACAGUGAAAAGUAAUACCGGAGCAUAUUGGUUGCUUCUCCAGCAAAAGGAAAUUCACCCUAGACCAAAAAGCAUAUCGUUCCAAAACAGUUGAUCUUGAAUAGGGAGUGAACAUGUCAGGCGGCAUAAGAACAUCAGUUAGAGUAACUGAUGUUCUUAUGCGUCGAAUUUUAGGUCAAACGUAGAGAUAUAACCCUGCUAGGUUCAGGCUCACUCAACCUUCAGCGGAAAUUACUGACAUAUUUGCUUUGAGUUGGUACAAAGUUUGUUUAGGCAUAUUUUCUGACUACCAUGUGCUGUAGGCUGAGCUUUUUGAACUUUGGGCUGAACUAAAAUUCGGAGAAAGAUGAAACUACAAAUGUAUAUAUAUAGUUUCCACUUUUUAACAUAUUUAGCACUAACGCUGACAAUAUAUACUUACCUUGUUCACUGUUACAAUCAAUUAGAAGAAGCAUCAAUAUUGCAACAAUAUGGCAGACAAAUCAGUAUAUGUCGUUUAUUCAUUGUUUAUCCGCUUUUUUUCAGGAGUAGUUUGUUAACAAUUUUUCCAUCAUGUAUUCCUUGGUGGAAAAUUAGAAGCCUACUAGCUAAAUCAGUAAUGCUGCCCUGAAUUUCUCUCUCAUGCCAAUCAGACAUACUAGCUAAAUCUAGCAAUUCUUCAAUUAUUGCAGGUCUGCAUUGGAGGCUUCAGACUUUGUUGGCUUUAUUAUCUGGAACUAAAUUAAUUGUCGCUCGCCUCCAGCUACUUUGGCUGGGCAUGAUUCCGCCGUUCUGGCUCCAGCUUGGUUGCUGCCAUGCUAUAAUGUAUACCACUCUUUGUCUUUUAAGUGCUCAAGCUCUUCACAAAGUGUGUGUAUUUUCCCAGUUGUUACCAUUUUCAAUAUAUGUUGGAAAAUGCUGCAAAAUGUUUGUAAUACGUUAUGGCUUCCAUGUGCUCCAUAAUUUAAUUGUACGUAUAUGUUGAAGAGAUUAUUUUUUUAGUUUUGUGUUCAAGCAAGCAAAUCAAGGGUUUAAGAUUCAGCACCCAA